ACUCCUAGGGUUUUAAAUGCCUUCUCCGUCUCCGCCAACCAAUACUGGGCAUCUUCAAAGGAGGAUUUUCCUACAAAAGUGGAUGAGUUCAGUCUCCUGUACCUCUCUACGUAACCUGGGUCAAUCAUAGAAGGAGCUGGGUCCUGCAAAAGAGGGACUGGGCUAGGCUGAGGAUAGACUGGGGGGCCCUGUGGUGGUACUUGCUGAUAUGGUGGGGGCACCGGAUUAUACUGUAGUGGUGUUGGGCAGUACUGUGGCUAGGGCACCAGAUUAUACUGCGGUGGUGGCACCGGGUGGUACUGUGGAGGAGCAGGCUUGUACCAGGGUGGCUCAGGAUCCUCUCGCUACAGUGGUGACUGAACCAAAGGCAACAGGAGAGGGUCAGGUACCUCCCUUCUCUCCUCUCGGCCUUGUUGGGCAGUAAUGAGUCUCUCCAGCAUCUCAAAUAUCUUAUCAACAUCUUUCCAAAGCGAACCAUCCCAGGCUGCUCAGUUUAGUGGGGGUCUUCCUCUUCUCAUCUCUCCUAACCUGUAUUUCACAAGGAAGGGUUGAGUAAUGAUUCAUUGGUUUGGUGUUUCUAUAAGUAUCAUUGUGUAAAUGAUGAGUCUGAGGAACGCGGCUCUGAUACCAACUGUAACGGUCCCAGAAAUUCAAAAGGGAAU
RNAcentral lists this long non-coding RNA (662 nucleotides) under Carica papaya (papaya). RNAcentral's name for it is "long non-coding RNA (CPAP_LNC003163)". Lineage: Eukaryota; Viridiplantae; Streptophyta; Magnoliopsida; Brassicales; Caricaceae. The record is from RNAcentral.